Molecule: non-coding RNA, 23 nt
Filed under: Arabidopsis thaliana (thale cress)
Lineage: Eukaryota; Viridiplantae; Streptophyta; Magnoliopsida; Brassicales; Brassicaceae
Source: RNAcentral
CCUUCUUUGGUAGACGAGACCUA